GACGAACGCUGGCGGCGUGCUUAACACAUGCAAGUCGAACGGAAAGGCCCUGCUUUUGUGGGGUGCUCGAGUGGCGAACGGGUGAGUAACACGUGAGUAACCUGCCCUUGACUUUGGGAUAACUUCAGGAAACUGGGGCUAAUACCGGAUAGGAGCUCCUGGUGCAUGGUGGGGGUUGGAAAGUUUCGGCGGUUGGGGAUGGACUCGCGGCUUAUCAGCUUGUUGGUGGGGUAGUGGCUUACCAAGGCUUUGACGGGUAGCCGGCCUGAGAGGGUGACCGGCCACAUUGGGACUGAGAUACGGCCCAGACUCCUACGGGAGGCAGCAGUGGGGAAUAUUGCACAAUGGGCGGAAGCCUGAUGCAGCAACGCCGCGUGCGGGAUGACGGCCUUCGGGUUGUAAACCGCUUUCGCCUGUGACGAAGCGUGAGUGACGGUAAUGGGUAAAGAAGCACCGGCUAGCUACGUG
This 468-nucleotide ribosomal RNA is filed under the name uncultured bacterium. Its description in RNAcentral is "partial 16S ribosomal RNA". It matches the Rfam family "Bacterial small subunit ribosomal RNA", at positions 28 to 507 of the family's 1533-position model. The record is from RNAcentral.